RNAcentral lists this ribosomal RNA (332 nucleotides) under uncultured bacterium. RNAcentral describes it as "bacterial SSU rRNA". It matches the Rfam family "Bacterial small subunit ribosomal RNA", at positions 568 to 898 of the family's 1533-position model. The record is from RNAcentral.
CAAGUAGGUGGUCUCAUUUGUCUGGGGUGAAAGCCUUGAGCUUAACUCAAGAAGUGCCCCAGAAACGGUGAGACUAGAGUCCUGGAGAGGGUCGUGGAAUUCCCGGUGUAGCGGUGAAAUGCGUAGAGAUCGGGAGGAACACCAGAGGCGAAGGCGGCGACCUGGACAGGCACUGACACUCAACUGCGAAAGCGUGGGGAGCAAACAGGAUUAGAUACCCUGGUAGUCCACGCUGUAAACGAUGGGUACUAAACUUAGUGGGUCUUGACCCCUACUGAGUUGGCGCUAACGCAAUAAGUACCCCGCCUGGGAAGUACGGUCGCAAGACUAAA